This 253-nucleotide ribosomal RNA is filed under the name uncultured bacterium. RNAcentral describes it as "partial 16S ribosomal RNA". It matches the Rfam family "Bacterial small subunit ribosomal RNA", at positions 524 to 776 of the family's 1533-position model. The record is from RNAcentral.
UACGUAGGGUGCAAGCGUUAAUCGGAAUUACUGGGCGUAAAGCGUGCGCAGGCGGCUUUGCAAGACAGAUGUGAAAUCCCCGGGCUUAACCUGGGAACUGCAUUUGUGACUGCAUGGCUAGAGUGCGGCAGAGGGGGAUGGAAUUCCGCGUGUAGCAGUGAAAUGCGUUGAUAUCAACCAGAACACCAGUGGCGAAGGCGAUCUGCUGGGCCGGUACUGACACUGAGGCACGAAAGCGUGGGUAGCGAACGGG